CCUACGGGGGGCUGCAGUGGGGAAUAUUGCACAAAGGGCGCAAGCCCGAUGCAGCCAUGCCGCGUGUGUGAAGAAGGCCUUCGGGUUGUAAAGCACUUUCAGCGGGGAGGAAGGCGGUGAGGUUAAUAACCUCAUCGAUUGACGUUACCCGCAGAAGAAGCACCGGCUAACUCCGUGCCAGCGGCCGCGGUAAUACGGAGGGUGCAAGCGUUAAUCGGAAUUACUGGGCGUAAAGCGCACGCAGGCGGUCUGUCAAGUCGGAUGUGAAAUCCCCGGGCUCAACCUGGGAACUGCAUUCGAAACGGGCAGGCUAGAGUCUUGUAGAGGGGGGUAGAAUUCCAGGUGUAGCGGUGAAAUGCGUAGAGAUCUGGAGGAAUACCGGUGGCGAAGGCGGCCCCCUGGACAAAGACUGACGCUCAGGUGCGAAAGCGUGGGGAGCAAACAGGAUUAGAUACCCGAGUAGUC
Molecule: ribosomal RNA, 465 nt
Filed under: uncultured Klebsiella sp.
Lineage: Bacteria; Pseudomonadati; Pseudomonadota; Gammaproteobacteria; Enterobacterales; Enterobacteriaceae
Description: bacterial SSU rRNA
Rfam family: Bacterial small subunit ribosomal RNA
Source: RNAcentral